This 372-nucleotide ribosomal RNA is filed under the name uncultured bacterium. Its description in RNAcentral is "bacterial SSU rRNA". It matches the Rfam family "Bacterial small subunit ribosomal RNA", at positions 527 to 896 of the family's 1533-position model. The record is from RNAcentral.
GGAGGGUGCAAGCAUUAAUCGGAAUUAUUGGGCGUAAAGGGCGCGUAGGCGGAUUUGUAAGUCAGAUGUGAAAUUCCAAGACUCAAUUUUGGAGCUGCAUUUGAAACUGCAAGUCUAAGAGGGUAGACGGAGAAAACGGAAUUCCACAUGUAGCGGUGAAAUGCGUGGAUAUGUGGAAGAACACCGGUGGCGAAAGCGGUUUUCUAGUUUAUGCCUGACGCUGAUGCGCGAGAGCAAGGGGAGCAAACAGGAUUAGAUACCCUGGUAGUCCUUGCCGUAAACGAUGUAUACUUGAUAUAGCUGGGCUCAACCCUGGCUGUGUCGUAGCUAACGCGUUAAGUAUACCGCCUGAGAAGUACGCUCGCAAGAGUG